GUUUGCACUUAUCGGGGAAGGGUGAGAACCUUCGAUUAAGGUUCGACUCGAGCGAAAGCGAGAGAACGUUGCCAACGGCAACGGCCCGU
Molecule: small RNA, 89 nt
Filed under: Salmonella enterica
Lineage: Bacteria; Pseudomonadati; Pseudomonadota; Gammaproteobacteria; Enterobacterales; Enterobacteriaceae
Description: partial RtT sRNA
Rfam family: RtT RNA
About the family: This family represents a bacterial cis-regulatory element known as RtT RNA.
Source: RNAcentral